This 1302-nucleotide ribosomal RNA is filed under the name Triticum aestivum (bread wheat). RNAcentral describes it as "partial small subunit ribosomal RNA". The record is from RNAcentral. Lineage: Eukaryota; Viridiplantae; Streptophyta; Magnoliopsida; Poales; Poaceae.
AUGGUGAGCACGGCGCCCAUGCCGCCGCCGCCGCAGCUGAGCCUGGCAGACCUCAGGGCCAUGUCGGUGCUUGGCCACGGCGCGAGGGGCGUGGUCUUCCACGUCGUACCCGUUGUCGCGGCAGCUGCAGGCGGGGGCUGCUCCCCCGACCAGCCCAUGGCCCUCAAGGCCAUGUCCCGCGCUGCCGCGCGCCAAAAGAGCGCCGCGGGCGGGCCAGCACCUGGCGGCGACGGCCUCCGGAGGAUCUGGUUCGAGCGCGACGUCCUGCUGGCGGUCCGCCACCCGCUCCUGCCCUCGCUCCGCGGCGUCGUGGCCACCGAAGCCGUCGUCGGCUUCGCCAUCGACCGCUGCGCCGGCGGGGACCUUAACUCCCUCCGCCGCCGCCAGGCCGGGCGGGCGUUCUCCGACGCCGCCAUCCGUUUCUACGCGGCGGAGCUGGUGCUCGUGCUCGAGCACCUCCACGGCCUCGGUGUCGUGUACCGUGACCUCAAGCCGGAUAACGUCCUCAUCCAGGGCUCUGGCCAUAUCAUGCUCGUCGACUUCGACCUCUCCACCAGCCUACCCCCGCCGUUGCCACCGCCGCCGCCUGACACUAAUUCUCCAUCACCCGGGAGCUCGCUUUCUUCUAAUUCUUCACGUCGCUGCAAGCGCAAAAACAACAAGACACUGGUCUUCGGACACUUCUCCUCUCGCCGGGCAGCCUCGCCGGAGUCGUCGUCCUCCUCCUCCACCACCUCCAGGGCGGCCUCUCCCGCCUCGUCGUCCUCCUGCUGCUCGUCGCCAGGCGCGGGGACGACGCCGGCCAAGUCGAACUCGUUCGUGGGGACGGAGUACUACGUGGCGCCCGAGGUUGUGGCCGGGAGCGGGCACGACUACGCGGUCGAUUGGUGGGGCCUCGGGGUGGUGCUCUACGAGAUGCUGUAUGGGCGCACGCCGUUCCGUGGCCGGAGCCGGCGGGAGACGUUCCAACGCGUGCUCACCGCCCAGCCGGAGCUGCCGGGCGAGCCGACGCCACUGCGCGACCUCAUCGCCCGGCUUUUGGAAAAGGACUCCGGCAAGCGGCUCGGCGCCAACGGCGUGAAGCGGCACGCCUUCUUCCGUGGCGUGUGCUGGGACCGCGUCCUCGACGUGGCACGGCCUCCGUUUAUCCCGAUGCCGUACGACGACAGUGCCGACUCGGGGGCAGAGGCGGAGACGCUCGACGUAGAGAAGGUUGUGCAUGAGACGUUUGCCUUGAGUGCCACUCGCACGUCCGAAGAAAAGCCUGACGGCGGCGACAGCGAUUUCUCCAUAUUCUUUUAG